Molecule: ribosomal RNA, 253 nt
Filed under: uncultured bacterium
Lineage: Bacteria
Description: partial 16S ribosomal RNA
Rfam family: Bacterial small subunit ribosomal RNA
Source: RNAcentral
GACGUAGGGCGCGAGCGUUGUCCGGAUUUAUUGGGCGUAAAGAGCUCGUAGGCGGCUUGUCGCGUCGUCCGUGAAAACUUGGGGCUCAACCCCAAGCUUGCGGUCGAUACGGGCAGGCUCGAGUUCGGUAGGGGAGACUGGAAUUCCUGGUGUAGCGGUGAAAUGCGCAGAUAUCUGGAGGAACACCGGUGGCGAAGGCGGCGUCCUGGACCAACACUGACGCUGAUGAGCGAAAGCCAGGGGAGCAAACGGG